CUACAAAGGAAUUGACGGGACCGCACAAGCGGUGGAUGAUGUGGUUAAUUCGAUGCAACGCGAAAACCUUACUACCCUUGACAUGUCCGGAAUCCCGAAGAGAUUUGGGAGUGCUCGCAAGAGAACCGGAACACAGGUGCUGCAUGGCUGUCGUCAGCUCGUGUCGUGAGAUGUUGGGUUAAGUCCCGCAACGAGCGCAACCCUUGUCAUUAGUUGCCAUCAUUUGGUUGGGCACUCUAAUGAGACUGCCGGUGACAAACCGGAGGAAGGUGGGGAUGACGUCAAGUCCUCAUGGCCCUUAUGGGUAGGGCUUCACACGCCAUACAAUGGUCGGUACAGAGGGUUGCCAACCCGCGAGGGGGAGCUAAUCCCACAAAGCCGAUCGUAGUCCGGAUCGCAGUCUGCAACUCGACUGCGUGAAGUCGGAAUCGCUAGUAAUCGUGGAUCAGCAUGUCACGGUGAAUACGUUCCCGGGUCUU
RNAcentral lists this ribosomal RNA (479 nucleotides) under uncultured Rhodocyclaceae bacterium. Its description in RNAcentral is "bacterial SSU rRNA". It matches the Rfam family "Bacterial small subunit ribosomal RNA", at positions 903 to 1382 of the family's 1533-position model. The record is from RNAcentral. Lineage: Bacteria; Pseudomonadati; Pseudomonadota; Betaproteobacteria; Rhodocyclales; Rhodocyclaceae.